RNAcentral lists this ribosomal RNA (976 nucleotides) under uncultured bacterium. Its description in RNAcentral is "bacterial SSU rRNA". It matches the Rfam family "Bacterial small subunit ribosomal RNA", at positions 61 to 1031 of the family's 1533-position model. The record is from RNAcentral.
GUCGAACGGUAACAGGGAGCUUGCUCCGCUGACGAGUGGCGAACGGGUGAGUAAUAUAUCGGAACGUACCCAAGAGUGGGGGAUAACGUAGCGAAAGUUACGCUAAUACCGCAUACGAUCCAAGGAUGAAAGCAGGGGACCUUCGGGCCUUGUGCUCCUGGAGCGGCCGAUAUCUGAUUAGCUAGUUGGUGAGGUAAAGGCUCACCAAGGCGACGAUCAGUAGCUGGUCUGAGAGGACGACCAGCCACACUGGAACUGAGACACGGUCCAGACUCCUACGGGAGGCAGCAGUGGGGAAUUUUGGACAAUGGGCGCAAGCCUGAUCCAGCAAUGCCGCGUGAGUGAAGAAGGCCUUCGGGUUGUAAAGCUCUUUUGUCAGGGAAGAAACGGCUGUGGCUAAUAUCCACGGCUAAUGACGGUACCUGAAGAAUAAGCACCGGCUAACUACGUGCCAGCAGCCGCGGUAAUACGUAGGGUGCAAGCGUUAAUCGGAAUUACUGGGCGUAAAGCGUGCGCAGGCGGUUUUGUAAGUCUGUCGUGAAAUCCCCGGGCUCAACCUGGGAAUUGCGAUGGAGACUGCAAGGCUAGAAUCUGGCAGAGGGGGGUAGAAUUCCACGUGUAGCAGUGAAAUGCGUAGAGAUGUGGAGGAACACCGAUGGCGAAGGCAGCCCCCUGGGUCAAGAUUGACGCUCAUGCACGAAAGCGUGGGGAGCAAACAGGAUUAGAUACCCUGGUAGUCCACGCCCUAAACGAUGUCUACUAGUUGUCGGGUUUUAAUUAACUUGGUAACGCAGCUAACGCGUGAAGUAGACCGCCUGGGGAGUACGGUCGCAAGAUUAAAACUCAAAGGAAUUGACGGGGACCCGUACAAGCGGUGGAUGAUGUGGAUUAAUUCGAUGCAACGCGAAAAACCUUACCUACCCUUGACAUGUCAGGAAUGCCGAAGAGAUUUGGCAGUGCCCGAAAGGGAACCUGA